This 201-nucleotide long non-coding RNA is filed under the name Homo sapiens (human). RNAcentral's name for it is "HSALNT0370391". Lineage: Eukaryota; Metazoa; Chordata; Mammalia; Primates; Hominidae. The record is from RNAcentral.
AGGGAAGCAGGAGGCUGGUUUAAGGACUCGGAUAGGCAGUGCGCGGGGCUCAGAGGAGCUAAUGUUCCUGUAUUGAGGGGCUCUGGGGGAAUCUUUGAGGAGCCAGGGGACGUGGCCUUGCAGAGCCUAGCGGGUCAGUGGGCGGGGCUCUAAGAACCCCGCUCCGGGGUCUAAGGAGCAGUGGGCGUUGCUCGGAGGCGC